This 68-nucleotide transfer RNA is filed under the name Hylomys suillus (short-tailed gymnure). RNAcentral describes it as "tRNA-Phe". It matches the Rfam family "tRNA". Rfam says of the family: Transfer RNA (tRNA) molecules are approximately 80 nucleotides in length. RNAcentral also lists the same sequence under 1 other name. The record is from RNAcentral. Lineage: Eukaryota; Metazoa; Chordata; Mammalia; Eulipotyphla; Erinaceidae.
GUUUUUGUAGCUUAUUACUAAAGCAAAGCACUGAAAAUGCUUAGAUGGAUAAUUUUAUCCCGAAAACA